GAAGGUUUUAAAGUUCAAUUUAAUAUGAAUGGAUGUUUUAUAAGAACAUUGAGUAGAGACAAGGUCUUCAAAGGCUUUAGAGAGGGAAAUUUGGACUACCUCAUUUGUAAGAAGAUGAAUGGAGUGGAGGUAGUCACAUUUACUGAGUAUACAUGAAACCAAGAUAAGUUGAAUAUAUGGCAUUGUUACCUUUGCCAUUUGAAUGUUAAGAGCAUGAAAGAGCUCAAGUCUAUAGUAAGUGGCUUAGAUCUUGGCAAUAUAAGCCAAAAUACAAAACAACUUACAUAUAAAGGAUGCAUACAAGGCAAACAAUAGAGGGCUUCAUUUCCAAGUAGCGUAGCAAUAUGAGCUAUCAAGUUGCUAGAGAUUGUCUAUUCUAAUGUAUGUGGACCUUUUGAAUAUAAGUAUUGAAGAAUCAAGAUAUUUUCUUACUUUCAUUGAUGAUUAUUCAAAAAAGA
RNAcentral lists this long non-coding RNA (458 nucleotides) under Physcomitrium patens. Its description in RNAcentral is "long non-coding RNA (PPAT_LNC006662)". The record is from RNAcentral. Lineage: Eukaryota; Viridiplantae; Streptophyta; Bryopsida; Funariales; Funariaceae.